ACGCACUCUCGGCUGGCGGCGGAAUGGGUGGUAGCACAGAGCCAGACCUGCUCCAGGAUCGCUGUCCCCGUUCUAGUAAUAGCAAUCUCGAAAGUCCUAUAGCCCAGGGGCAGAUGGAAGCUCCCCGCGUGAAAACACAGAGCUAACCGUCAGCCGGGCGCGCAGCUUCUCCACUGGAUCCUUCUUCAGUGACUCGAGAACACUAACUCUCCAUCUCAUCUUCUACGGCUCAUUCUGUCUGCACCCCUUCCCAGCUGAGCUGCUUUGAGGAGCUGCUACAUAUCCAGUAUCCACUUCCUCACUUCCCAUUUGUUUUCCAGCUGACUCCAACAUGGAUUCCAUCUUCAUUAUUCCAUCAAAAGUGUUCAUGGUUUCCAUUGUGGCUCAGCAGGUUAAGAUCCCAACUAGUAUCAAUGAGGAUGAGGGUUCUAUCCCUGGCCUUGCUCAGUGGGUUAAGGAUCUGGCAUUGCUGUGGCUGUGGCAUAAUCCAGUAGCUGCAGCUCUGAUUUGACCCCUAGCCUGGGAACUUCAAUAUGCUGAAAGUGCUGCCCUAAAAAGAAACAAAAAAAACCCCCAACAAAACAGUGGGUUUUUGUUUUUUGUUUUGGUCUUUUUAGGGCCGCACUCUUGGCACAUGGAGGUUCCCAGGCUAGGGGUCAAAUUGGAGUUGUAGCCACUGGCCUAUGCCACAGCCACAGCAGCACCAGUUCAGAGCCUUGUCUGCGACCUACACCACAGCUCAUGGCAAAGCCGGAUCCUUAAUCCACUGAGCGAGCGCAGGGAUCGAACCUGCGUCCUCAUGGAUACUAGUCCAUGAGGCUUACUUCCUCAUGGAAGUAAGGCUUACUUCCACUGAGCCACGACGGGAACUCCCAAAAAACAGUGCUUUUUGUGGGGUGGGCAAAAUGGGUGAAAAUGGUCAAAAGGUACAAACUUCCAGUAACAAAUAAGUCCUUGGGAUUUUGUGUACAGCGUGGUGACUAUAAAAAUGCUAUACUGUAUAUUUAAAAGUUGCCAAGAGACUAUAUCUUAAAAGUUCUCAUCACAAGAAAAAAGAACUGUAAUUAUGUGUGGUGAGAGAUGUUAACUCACAGUGGUGAUCAUUUUGCAAUAUAUAGAAAAUCCUGUUAUACACCUACAAUUAAUAUAUUGUCAUGUUAAUUACAUUGCAAUUAAAAAUUUUUAAUUAAAAAAUAAAGUUAUUUCAAUCAUUAGAAAAGUAUUCAGGGUCAGUGGAGAAUUAGGUCAGCUACUUCCUCUAAAAUGAUUGAGAGGAGAGGGGCAGGCCUUUGUACCAUGCUUGCAACUCUUCUGUAAAUUUGAGGCUGUUUCAAGAUAAAAGGAAACUAGUAUAUGUUAGGUGUCUGGCUCUGUAGUAAAGACUGUUAGAGCCCCACUUAUGCCCACUUUACCCUUCAUCCUUGCAUCGAUUGUAUUGAAGGAGCCGUGGGCACAGAGACACCUGAGCACUGCACCCCCACUUUGGCUUGGAGGUGGCAACAGAUGUCUUACUGGUCUAGGGGUGUAAGAGUCCCAUCCCUUGCUUCACAGGGGGAUAAUGGGACAACUUGGCAGUGUGCUCCCUCCAGAGCACCCUGUGGAUCAGGCCAAGAAGUUUUCUGAGCCCUCAUCCUUAGCUGACUCUUUCUCCUUCUCUUACUCCUUUACAGGAUUUUCCUAGAGAGCGCCACUCUCAAAAAUCAUGUGCAGCUGAGUCCUUGUCUCCAGCAGCUUUUAGAGAAUCUCAACUCAGCCAGUGACACACCAGGUUAAUAAAUGAGAGCUAUUAUUAUUGGCAUCAAUGACACUACCAUUAGAUGGAAGACCAAUGCAUGAAAUAUAGGCCUUGUUUCAUAGAUACGUUCACUUUAAAGUCUCCUAACAUUCUUACUUAUCCUGAACUGCCUUAUUUUUUAUACGGAACAUUUACUUUCUUUCCAGAAAGAACUGAACUCUGAAAAAAAAUGUUCACUUUAGGGUUCUGCUUGUAGAAUGCUUCUGUAAAACAAACAGCCAAGUGAGGCUGCUUCCCUGAUUAAACUUGUUUCAUUCCUCCUCUUCCAGGAGGUCUUUGUGGAUUUCCAUUUCCAAGUAUGCUGCCAAAAUGGUGGCUUGGCUUGGAUUUGAGGAUUCCAAUUUUCUUUUGUCUUCGCAUCAAUAGUUUUCAAUGAGGGUAAUUCAUGUUGGCAUUAGUUAUCAUCUCUGUGAUGGGGUUGUGCACUACAUCUGACAUCCUGCAAGUGCAGGCUAUCACACACCAUGAAGGAUCAUCCCAAAUUCAGUAUCCACCACAACUAUCACAUGUUCUGCUGGACAUUCAUGAAGGUGGAAAACCAGGCUAAGUAUCUGAGCCAAGCCCCUGUUAAAGAAAAAAGUGGUGGAGUUCCCUAGUUCGAAUCCGACUAGGGACCAUGAGGUUGUGGGUUCAAUCCCUGGCAUUGCUUAGUGGGUUAAGGAUCUGGCAUUGCCGUGAGCUGUGGUGUAGGUCUCAGACACGGCUUGGAUCUGGCGUUGAUGUGGCUGUGGCGUAGGCUGGUGGCUACAGCUCUGAUUAGACCCCUAGCCUAGGAACCUCCAUAUGCCAUGGGAGUGGCCCUAGAAAAGGCAAAAAGACAAAAAAAAGAAAAAGAAAAAAGGGGUUCUGCUAAGGUCAUGGGGGCCAUUCAUGUUGCUAAUCCAGUGGAGCUUUCAGCCCCCAUCUACCCUUCCAAUUGACUGCUUCCACCUUAAAGACUCUUGUGGGCAGUCUUGACAUUGCCUUGUCUUGGUUUUCCACCAGCCUCACUGCCAACCCCCCAGUCUCCUUGGCCAGCUCCCUUUGUGCUGACCAGCUCCUAAAUGCUGGAGUUACUUGAGACUUUAUCUCGCACUAUACAUUUACCAUAAACAACCUCAUUCACUGUCAUGCUUUUGAAUACAAUUUCUGUAUACAACUUCCAACGAUUGUAUUUUUAGUUCCAUACAUACAGCUCUCUACCCCAGAAACUGGUAUGUCCAAAAUCCCUGUUUCCAAGCUCACUCUUUUCCACAGAGAACCUUCAAGCAUCUAGCCCUUUUUGCUAGAAACCCUUUUCCUCACAUCCCACUUCUAAAUCAUCAUUUUGUCCUGCCAGACUUUACCUGGGCCCUGUCCGCUUCUCAGCACCUCCACCAUCACCAUCUCACUGGGACAACCAUGUCCCUACAAAAGCUGUAAAUGUCAUGUCUUCAGAGAAACCUUCCUAUUCUCACAAUUAAAAAUAAAGUUUAUGGGAGUUCCUGCCAUGGCUCAGCAAUAAUGGACCCGACUAAGAUCCAUGAGGAUGUGGGUUUGAUCCCUGGCCUCACUCAGUGGGUUAAGGAUCCAGCAUUGCUGUGACUGGCUUGUCUACAGUAGGUUGUAAAUGCUGCUUGAAUCUUGCAUUGCUGUGGCUGUGGCAGUAGCUGGGAGCUGUGGCUCAGAUUCGACCUCUAGCCACACAAAACAAACAAACAAACAAAAAACAACAGUUUAUGUGUUAGGUCUCCUAGCUCUCUGAACAUUUAACUUUUCUUCAUGGCAGUUUGUAUCUUAUAUAAUAAUUGUCUGAUGUUCCAGCUUCCUUGGUAGAUAGUUAAGUGAACAAAUGAGUGUGUAUUUUUUCUUCUCUCAAAGAAUUAUGUUCUGUAAAUGAUAAAAAGCACCAUCUUAUUGGCUUACAUCCCAAUUCAAUGGGUUUUUUAAAACUCUACAAAUACAUCUAUUUAGCUUUUUUUCUUAUUUACAAAAAUAUUUCUUCCUUUAUAAAAAGAUGCCUUUUCCUCUUUAAGAUGCCUUUUUUCCUUUAUGAAUAUUAAAGAGAUUACUCAGUUGGGCAUUAGAGAUCUCAUUAAAUAUUAAAGUAGAAGAAAAUAUUCAAAGCAUACAUCAUAGAAAUAGUUACAGGUCCCUGUAGGUCCAGAUGCACUAAUGGUUUUAAUUUCAUCUAACAUCAUUUGAGACAAUACUGCUGUUUGAAACUACUAGAUAUUUCAAUAAGAAUGACAAACUGAUUAUAUAUAAUCAUAUAAUCUAUAUUAUAUAAAAAGAUUUUUAUACAGAUUAUAUGUUAUAUAAUCACGUAUAUUAUAUAUAAAUGUUUGUAUAUAAUAUGAUUAUAUAUAUAUGAUUAUAUUAUAUAAAUUUUUUAAAAAAAACUUGGCUGUUUUCUUAGAUUACAUAUUGGUGGUAUAAAAUGGUAACAUCUAAAAGAUAAAUUACUACACUUGGAAAUAACUAUUUCGUAACUCUGAAGUGAAUUCAGUGUGGCUUAAAAAAAAGUUUUAAAAGGAUGAUUUGAAAUGUGAAAUGCAUCUCAAAGUACAAAAUUUAUUGGCCCUUUAUAGAGUUUACCGGCAGUGUUUUUUUUUGUUUGUUUGUUUUUUUUUUUUGCUUUUUAGGGCUGCACCCGAGGCAUGUGGAGGUUCCUAGGCUAGGGGUCAAAUUGGAGUUAUAGCUGCUGGCCUCCACCGGGAUCCAUGCCUGUGUCUGCAACCUAUACCACAGCAAUGCCAGAUCCUUAACCCACUGAGCGAGGCCAGGAAUCGAACCCACAACCUCAUGAUUCCUCAUCAGAUUCAUUUCUGCUGCACCAUGACGGGAACUCCUACCCAUUGUGAUCUUUUAAAGAACAGAAAUGCAAAAGUGCAGGAAGAUAAAGUAUUCUAAAACAAAAUCCCAAAUUGGAAAUCCAACAUACACCAGAAACAAUGUGAAGUACUGAUGUCAAAUUGUUUUUUGAUCACUUGCUAAAGAAAUACAUUAUAAUUAAAUUGUUUUGGUGUUAUUUAAAUACUGUUAAACAAAAAUUCUGAUUUUUGACAAGGAUAGAAAGUAAUACCAGAGAAACCAGCUUUGAAUUUUGGGAAACUUCUUCUCCCUAAAGCAACUUUUUUGAAUAUGUAUUGUCAAAAAAUGCAAUGUAUGUUGAUUCAUAAAU
This 4937-nucleotide long non-coding RNA is filed under the name Sus scrofa (pig). RNAcentral describes it as "lncRNA (ENSSSCG00000058553.1)". Lineage: Eukaryota; Metazoa; Chordata; Mammalia; Artiodactyla; Suidae. The record is from RNAcentral.